RNAcentral lists this ribosomal RNA (566 nucleotides) under uncultured marine eukaryote. Its description in RNAcentral is "SSU rRNA". It matches the Rfam family "Eukaryotic small subunit ribosomal RNA", at positions 613 to 1182 of the family's 1831-position model. The record is from RNAcentral.
UUGCGGUUAAAAAGCUCGUAGUUGGAUUUCUGUCGAGGGCGGCCGGUCCGCACUAUGUGCGUGUAUCUGGUUCGGUCUUGGCAUCCUCUUGGGGAUCGUUCGUGUGCUUGAUUGCAUGCGACGGAAUUCAAGACUUUUACUUUGAGGAAAUUAGAGUGUUCACGGCAAGCUAUCGCUUUGAAUACAUUAGCAUGGAAUAAUAAUAUAGGACCUUCAGUACUAUUUUGUUGGUUUCUAGAGCUGAGGUAAUGAUUAAUAGGGACAGUUGGGGGCAUUCGUAUUAACGCGUCAGAGGUGGAAUUCUUGGAUUGCGUUACGACGAACUACUGCGAAAGCAUUUGCCAAGGAUGUUUUCAUUGAUCAAGAACGAAAGUAUGGGGAUCGAAGACGAUUAGAUACCGUCGUAGUCUAUACCAUAAACUAUGCCGACUAGAGAUUGGAGGUCGUUUUUUUAUGACUCCUUCAGCACCUUAUGAGAAAUCAAAGUCUUUGGGUUCCGGGGGGAGUAUGGUCGCAAGGCUGGAACUUUAAAGGAAUUGACCGAAGGGCACCACCAGGAGUGGAGC